Felis catus (domestic cat) is the source of this 85-nucleotide non-coding RNA. The record is from Rfam. Lineage: Eukaryota; Metazoa; Chordata; Mammalia; Carnivora; Felidae.
GCCUGGGUGGCUCAGUCGGUUGAGCAUCCGACUUCGGCUCAGGUCAUGAUCUUACAGUUCGUGAGUUCAAGCCCCGCGUCAGGCU